This 468-nucleotide ribosomal RNA is filed under the name uncultured bacterium. RNAcentral's name for it is "partial 16S ribosomal RNA". It matches the Rfam family "Bacterial small subunit ribosomal RNA", at positions 28 to 507 of the family's 1533-position model. The record is from RNAcentral.
GACGAACGCUGGCGGCGUGCUUAACACAUGCAAGUCGAACGGAAAGGCCGUGCUUUUGUGGGGUGCUCGAGUGGCGAACGGGGGAGUAACACGUGAGUAACCUGCCCUUGACUUUGGGAUAACUUCAUGAAACUGGGGCUCAUACCGGAUAGGAGCUCCUGCUGCAUGGUGGGGGUUGGAAAGUUUCGGCGGUUGGGGAUGGACUCGCUGCUUAUCAGCUUGUUGGUUGGGUAGUGGCAUACCAAGGCUUUGAAGGGUAGCCGGCCUGGGCGGGGUACCGGACCACAUGGGGCUGGAAUGAGGCCCAGACCACCAUCGGAGGGAAGAGGGGGGAAGAGUGCCACAUGGGAGGAAGCCUGAUGCAGCAACGCCGCGUGCGGGAUGACGGCCUUCGGGUUGUAAACCGCUUUCGCCUGUGACGAAGCGUGAGUGACGGUAAUGGGUAAAGAAGCACCGGCUAACUACGUG